UACGGAGGAAAAGAAACCAACAGGGAUUACCUCAGUAACGGCGAGUGAAGCGGUAAAAGCUCAAAUUUGAAAUCUGGCUCUUUUAGAGUCCGAAUUGUAAUUUGUAGAAGAUGCUUCGGGUGUGGUUCCGGUCUAAGUUCCUUGGAACAGGACGUCAUAGAGGGUGAGAAUCCCGUAUGUGACUGGAUACCUAUGCUCAUGUGAAGCUCUUUCGACGAGUCGAGUUGUUUGGGAAUGCAGCUCAAAAUGGGAGGUAUAUUUCUUCUAAAGCUAAAUAUUGGCCAGAGACCGAUAGCGCACAAGUAGAGUGAUCGAAAGAUGAAAAGCACUUUGGAAAGAGAGUUAAACAGUACGUGAAAUUGUUGAAAGGGAAGCGCUUGCAAUCAGACUUGCACUUGGUGUUCAUCAGGGUCUCGUACCCUGUGUACUUCAUCAAGUUCAGGCCAGCAUCAGUUUGAGUGGUUAGAUAAAGGCUUAGAGAAUGUGGCCCUCUUCGGGGGGUGUUAUAGCUCUAGGUGCAAUGUAGCCUACUUGGACUGAGGACCGCGCUUCGGCUAGGAUGCUGGCGUAAUGGUUGUAAGCGACCCGUCUUGAA
RNAcentral lists this ribosomal RNA (595 nucleotides) under Botrytis cinerea. Its description in RNAcentral is "partial large subunit ribosomal RNA". It matches the Rfam family "Eukaryotic large subunit ribosomal RNA", at positions 49 to 658 of the family's 3401-position model. The record is from RNAcentral. Lineage: Eukaryota; Fungi; Ascomycota; Leotiomycetes; Helotiales; Sclerotiniaceae.